UUUAUGGAGAGUUUGAUCCUGGCUCAGGAUGAACGCUGGCGGCGUGCCUAAUACAUGCAAGUCGAGCGAACGGACGAGAAGCUUGCUUCUCUGAUGUUAGCGGCGGACGGGUGAGUAACACGUGGAUAACCUACCUAUAAGACUGGGAUAACUUCGGGAAACCGGAGCUAAUACCGGAUAAUAUUUUGAACCGCAUGGUUCAAAAGUGAAAGACGGUCUUGCUGUCACUUAUAGAUGGAUCCGCGCUGCAUUAGCUAGUUGGUAAGGUAACGGCUUACCAAGGCAACGAUGCAUAGCCGACCUGAGAGGGUGAUCGGCCACACUGGAACUGAGACACGGUCCAGACUCCUACGGGAGGCAGCAGUAGGGAAUCUUCCGCAAUGGGCGAAAGCCUGACGGAGCAACGCCGCGUGAGUGAUGAAGGUCUUCGGAUCGUAAAACUCUGUUAUUAGGGAAGAACAUAUGUGUAAGUAACUGUGCACAUCUUGACGGUACCUAAUCAGAAAGCCACGGCUAACUACGUGCCAGCAGCCGCGGUAAUACGUAGGUGGCAAGCGUUAUCCGGAAUUAUUGGGCGUAAAGCGCGCGUAGGCGGUUUUUUAAGUCUGAUGUGAAAGCCCACGGCUCAACCGUGGAGGGUCAUUGGAAACUGGAAAACUUGAGUGCAGAAGAGGAAAGUGGAAUUCCAUGUGUAGCGGUGAAAUGCGCAGAGAUAUGGAGGAACACCAGUGGCGAAGGCGACUUUCUGGUCUGUAACUGACGCUGAUGUGCGAAAGCGU
This 779-nucleotide ribosomal RNA is filed under the name Staphylococcus aureus. RNAcentral's name for it is "bacterial SSU rRNA". It matches the Rfam family "Bacterial small subunit ribosomal RNA", at positions 1 to 762 of the family's 1533-position model. Lineage: Bacteria; Bacillati; Bacillota; Bacilli; Caryophanales; Staphylococcaceae. The record is from RNAcentral.